GGUUCCACAGUCUAGCAGUUAGCAUGUCUGCUUUACAUGCAGCAGGUCCUGGGUUUGCACCCCAGUGUAGCCA
This 73-nucleotide transfer RNA is filed under the name Pteropus alecto (black flying fox). It matches the Rfam family "tRNA". Rfam says of the family: Transfer RNA (tRNA) molecules are approximately 80 nucleotides in length. The record is from Rfam by way of RNAcentral. Lineage: Eukaryota; Metazoa; Chordata; Mammalia; Chiroptera; Pteropodidae.